CCCGAACUGCCAACCCACGAAUUCACCAACUCCCGAACUGCAACCAAGGGAAUACUCGAAACUCCCGAACUGCAUACCAAGUAGCACUCCAAACUCCUGAACUGGAGACACACGAAUAGCUGUUAGCAGACUAACAGGAAAAGCCCCCAAGCGGCUUACACUCCUGGCAAUCAGUCUCUAACAGCACACAGCAAAUCCCCCAAAGA
This 206-nucleotide long non-coding RNA is filed under the name Pelobates cultripes (western spadefoot toad). Lineage: Eukaryota; Metazoa; Chordata; Amphibia; Anura; Pelobatidae. The record is from RNAcentral.